This 71-nucleotide transfer RNA is filed under the name Alphaproteobacteria bacterium MarineAlpha9_Bin3. Its description in RNAcentral is "tRNA-Thr". It matches the Rfam family "tRNA". From Rfam's summary of the family: Transfer RNA (tRNA) molecules are approximately 80 nucleotides in length. Their secondary structure includes four short double-helical elements and three loops (D, anti-codon, and T loops). Lineage: Bacteria; Pseudomonadati; Pseudomonadota; Alphaproteobacteria. The record is from RNAcentral.
GCCGCCUUAGCUCAGGGGUAGAGCACGUCAUUGGUAAUGACGGGGCCGCAAGUUCGAAUCUUGCAGGCGGC